GACGAGGGGUCCAAGCGUUGUUCGGAAUCAUUGGGCGUAAAGCGGGUGUAGGCGGCUCUAUAAGUCAGAAGUGAAAGCCCCGAGCUUAACUUGGGAAGUGCUUUUGAUACUGCAGAGCUUGAAUGUGGGAGAGGGUAGUGGAAUUCCAGGUGUAGUGGUGAAAUGCGCAGAUAUCAGGAGGAACACCAAUGGCGAAGGCAGCACUCUGGGACGUGACUGACGCUGAGACGCGAAAGCGUGGGGAGCAAACAGG
This 253-nucleotide ribosomal RNA is filed under the name uncultured bacterium. RNAcentral's name for it is "partial 16S ribosomal RNA". It matches the Rfam family "Bacterial small subunit ribosomal RNA", at positions 524 to 776 of the family's 1533-position model. The record is from RNAcentral.